Podarcis lilfordi (Lilford's wall lizard) is the source of this 81-nucleotide non-coding RNA. The record is from the annotation of a GenBank genome assembly. Lineage: Eukaryota; Metazoa; Chordata; Lepidosauria; Squamata; Lacertidae.
UUGAAGAAGGCCCAUAGCUCAGUGGUAGAACAUCUGCUUUGCGUGCAGAAGGCCUCAGCUUCAAUCCCUGGCAUUUUCAAG